This 253-nucleotide ribosomal RNA is filed under the name uncultured bacterium. RNAcentral describes it as "partial 16S ribosomal RNA". It matches the Rfam family "Bacterial small subunit ribosomal RNA", at positions 524 to 776 of the family's 1533-position model. The record is from RNAcentral.
UACGGAGGGUGCGAGCGUUAAUCGGAAUUACUGGGCGUAAAGCGCACGUAGGCGGCUACAUAAGUUGGAGGUGAAAUCCCCGGGCUCAACCUGGGAACUGCUUUCAAAACUGUGUGGCUAGAGUACGGUAGAGGUGAGUGGAAUUUCCUGUGUAGCGGUGAAAUGCGUAGAUAUAGGAAGGAACAUCAGUGGCGAAGGCGACUCACUGGACUGAUACUGACGCUGAGGUGCGAAAGCGUGGGGAGCAAACAGG